GAGUAACGCGUAGGUAAUCUAUCCUUAUAUUUGGGAUAACAUUGGGAAACUGGUGCUAAUACCGAAUACCCUUCUUUGCUGCGGGGCGAAGGAGGAAAGGUGGCCUCUUCAUGAAAGCUACCGUAUAGGGAUGAGCCUGCGUACCAUUAGCUAGUAGGUGGGGUAACGGCCCACCUAGGCAACGAUGGUUAGCGGGUCUGAGAGGAUGAUCCGCCACACUGGAACUGAAACACGGACCAG
RNAcentral lists this ribosomal RNA (240 nucleotides) under uncultured bacterium. RNAcentral describes it as "partial 16S ribosomal RNA". It matches the Rfam family "Bacterial small subunit ribosomal RNA", at positions 108 to 334 of the family's 1533-position model. The record is from RNAcentral.